Molecule: long non-coding RNA, 434 nt
Filed under: Carica papaya (papaya)
Lineage: Eukaryota; Viridiplantae; Streptophyta; Magnoliopsida; Brassicales; Caricaceae
Description: long non-coding RNA (CPAP_LNC014138)
Source: RNAcentral
AGGGAUGGUAUUUUUGGCACUCAUACCAGACGGGGUAUGGCGACGGCCGGUUAGUUGAUAAUGUUGAAUAGUUCAACGCAGUGGGAGACAACUCUAUGGACCCCCAUGGAUACCAGUAGGCAGAUAAAAAGGGAAAGUUGUUGUUCUGAAUAAUUGAAUAUGAGAUUAUGAUAUUGUUUGUGUUAUUGCCUCUAUAGAUCAGUUUUUAGAAAUUUCGCUAUUGUAAGUGUACAAUAAAUGAUUUUAUUUAUGAUAAAUGAAUUUACUUAAAUUAAGAGCUCCAUUAGUUGUUUUCAUGUUAUUCUUACUGGGUUAGUGUAUCUAAUUCUUUCAUUAACCAUUUCAGAUCAAGAGAACCAAGAUCCCAGAUCCCGAUCCACAAAAGUAUUGUAAAUAAGAUGUCCCAGUUAUUUACUUUCCAUUUAUUUCUUUGA